This is a long non-coding RNA of Felis catus (domestic cat), 5680 nucleotides long. RefSeq lists it as uncharacterized. The transcript is spliced from 3 exons. Lineage: Eukaryota; Metazoa; Chordata; Mammalia; Carnivora; Felidae. The record is from RefSeq and is a predicted model, not a curated record.
UUGGAGACGGGCUCCCGUGGACUGGAACUCCACGCACCUGACACUCAGGGGAAGUGACUGAGGACAAAAGGGAGCAGUGAGAAUUCAGAAGCUCCGGAGUCAGGCCUCUGAUUUGUGUGCUGGCCUCUACAGGAUCACACCGCACGACCUUGGGACAGACGGUCCCGUGACUUCCCCGGGACCUCCGUGUCCAACGCCCGAGGGCCGGCUCAUCUCUACUGCCUCCUCCAGGCUGAAAUCUGACGCAGGGACUCAUUUGGAGGUGGACAUGGGACCCAGUUGGGGCAGAUGAGAUGCCAACGGGCAGCAAAUCAGUUGGGCGCCUUCUGAGGAAGACUCUCUAUGCUUGAUCAAAAGAAAAAGGUAUGCCAGGGCAAUCCUUGUUUUCCUUCCUACUUUGGGACGUAGUUGUAUGAAGACAUGAUACCUGGAGAUGCCUUUUACACCUGUGUUGCCAUGGCAUGACAAGAAUAUCCUAUCAGUAGCCCUCUAGUCCCAGAGGAAAAGAGGCCCAUCGACUGAAAAACUCAAGCAGCCUAUGGACCUUCAACUUGAAACCGAGUCGUUCGGUCAGAUUCAGACUCCCUUUGGCUGCUACAGCUUGAAGCAGAGCUUCUUAGCUGACCUCAGAUCCAUGAGAAAACCACUGAGUUUGGGGAAUACUUGUUACUCAGCGUCACUUGGCGACAGCUAACCAGUAAGGCAUCGUAUUCCCCAGUCUGCCGUCACCUGAGCUGCAGAAUCUAAAGUCUCAGUCCAGGACCACCCUGAUACGGAAGAGAAUAUAAUAAGGAAAUUUUUGCCCCUGGUGUUUGGGAACCAGAGUAACCCACAUAAGCAAGGUUAAGUAGGGGCCGUGGAGCAGUAUGGUUAGGAAAAAAAAAGUUAAAAUUCUGGAUCGAGUCUAUCCUAAUUGCUGAAAUGGACCAAAAAGCUAUAGACUUACCGAUCAAUCAGAUGCGAGAAACUGUAUCUAAGCAGCACUUAGCUGAAGGCAGGGAUGGGAAAAUAGGUGAAAGUAUACCAGGUUUAUACCUCAAGUUCCAAUUGUUCAAUAAUUCUGCUCCACUCAAUAUUUUUCUCCCUUAAGAAAUCAAUGUCACCGUCAAAGUGGCAAUUUUGUGCCACGCCCUUUCAUCUAAACCGUAUGUAAAAGUGUGGACAGUGGUCUCACCAUGGCUCCCUUUUCGUUUAUAUUUUAUUGUCUUAUUUUGUGUCCAUCUAUUGUGUGUAUAGCUGGCUUUUGUGCGAGAAAUCUUCCAAAUGAUGUCUGAAUAUAUACGUAAUGUAAACCUGGUCUCCAGGCUUGUAGAAACUUUCAAGGAAUACUAGGAAUUUAUUCAAGGGCGAUCAACACCGUUAUUGCUAACAUAGAAAUUAUUAAUGGCUGUAGUAGCACUACCAUUUCCUGAGCCCUUUUGCAAGCCUAGCUGUGUGGAGAUGUUCUGCACACACGUUCUCCAAUCCUCAUACCAGUUGAUUAGGUGGGUACGGUUAUCCCGUGUUCUUCCAGUAAUAAUAAAGAAACAUGGUGGGUGCUGCUUCGGGCGUGGAAGUGAGCUCUUCACAUGCGUUGCCUCAAUGCCUUCUCACAGCCCUGACAGCGGGAAGGGUUAUUUUCCCAUGUGUUAGAUGAGCAAGCCGAGGAUCCAGUGGCUGAAGGGACUUUCUCACAUCACACAGUCGAGAAGAAAUAGCGUCAGGCCUUGAACCUGGCCUGCCUGGUUCUAAACCCCUGUUUGCUCUGCUUCACGAUUGUCUCCCAGAAACAGAAACCAUGUUGCCUUUCUACUACUCUGACCCGUCGUCCCCAACCCAGAUGGGUUUGCUCAUCCACUCCAGAAAUCUUUUCCGGCACCAAAAUUGGCAAUGCCAAGAUUUGAGUGGAGUCCCGUGUAGAUCGAAUCUGGUGACACCGGGGCAAAGGCCAGCACAAAAGGCGAGGAAAAGUCUAACAACUUUUAGCUGCUGUCUGUCUGGCAGCUCCCUCUCCUCGCGUCUGCCUCAGAGACCAAACUGCCACCAGCCUCGAGGCAGGGGGGACCCACCCUGCUGAUGGGAGACCUUUGACUGGGAAGCAGCCAAUGGGUGCCGACCAAAGAAACAAACACACAUUAUUCUUUCCUUCACAAAACUUGAGAGUUUACAAGUGCCUUUUAUACAUUUUGAGUCUUGCAUCCACUGUGUGAAAUAAAUCUCAUUCUGCCCAAAGUAUUUGUCAUCUCAGAUGUUAUAUUCUGCUCUCCUUUAGUGGAGACCUAGAAUAUUCCAGGGACCUUUCUGGGCAGUUUCUCGUACAAGACCUCAUUUAAAUCCCACCAAGUGCCUCUGAAGUAGAGAUCGUUAUUUCCACCUUGAAGAAAAGGAAGUUGAGGAUCUGGGUGAUGGUGUGACACAUUCAUCCCCAUCCAGAAAGUCAGUGUGUUUGAGCCCAGAUCAUCCUUCAUCACACCUGUGCUCAGUCCGCGGCCCGAGGCCACUGUAGGACGUUGCCCACAGGCUCUGACCCAGCAGCCUGGCCUCCGCUGAAACAGUGCUGUGCUGAUGGCUUCUUCAGUCAGUCUGUCUCACUCUUGUGCCUAGAAGUAGACGACUUGUCUCGUGCAGUUGACACGACUUCUGAUCGAGAAGGCGCCGCAUCUGAGGAACUGAACCCAAGGAGCUUCACUGACAUCUUGGCGGAUUAGAUGUUAAGGCCCUGAACGUGGAGCCCAAACCUAAUGCCACCAUGGUGUAAGACAUCAGGGGGGUGUUAGGACGUGCUGGGUGAAAUUAGUAAAUAAUUUGUUGCCAGCGGGCAGAGUGUGGCGUGGCUGUUUUUUAAACCUAAUCCCAAUGGUUGUUGAGAUUCUUCCCUUAGGAGUGGGUAGAGUCUCUGUCCCCUCCCUUGAAUCUGGACUCUGGGACAGCUUGGCCAAUAGCCUAUAACAGAAGUGGUGCUGUGUUAGUUUCAGGCCCGGGACUUAAUGAAUGGAUGGUUUUCCAUUGCUGUCUCUUGGGUCACCUACCCUUCAAACCUAGCCACCACACUGUGAGGAAACCCAAGCCACACUGCGGGGAGACCCACACGGGGAGGAGCUGACGAGAAGCUUUCUUAGCCAUGGGAGCGAGCUGUCUGGGAAGAGGGUCCCCCAGGUGAGCUGGCCCAGGCAGUGCAGCAUGGAGCAGGGGGUGAGAUGUCUCUGCUGAGCCCUGAGCAAACCACAGAUUCAUAAGCAAAAUAAAUGACUGUUGUAGUUUUAUACCACUGUGUUUUGGGGUGCUUAGAUACACAGCAAUGGAUAACUAGAAGAGAGGAACCUGGCCUUUCCACUGACAGUCACUUUGAAUCGUUACAGCAAUCCACUUAAACAGAUGGAGAAACCGAGGCUCAGAAGGGAUACAUAACUCGCUUGAGAUCCCAUAUCUACAAGAUCCUGCGGGGACUCUGAGUGUAAGACCAGCAUACCAGCAAACUCUGCCUUCAGGUUAUGCGAUGCCUUCUUGGGAAUAACAAAUGCAUCCAGGUUUGAAUUCCAGGCACAAUUCCAAGGAGCGCCUCCUGGGGUAGGGGGUCAGCUGAGCAACUUUCUGCCUGUGUGACCUCAGGGUCAUCACCUAACUUCCCUGAUCCUCAGUUUCCUCAUCCAUAAGAGAAGGACAAAAAUAUCAGCCUCACCGAGUUGUUUUAAGGAUCAAAUGAGUACAUAUUGGUAAAUAACAGUACCCGGCCCAAAAUCAGUACUCGAUACAUCGAGUGUCCCUAACUUUGAGGACUUAGAGAGAAGAAUUUUCUUUGCUUAUUCCUCCCUGACCCUAAAGAGAGAGCUCCCUGGGGUCACGAUGAAACAGAUGCAUCCCACCCCUGAGCCUCAUUUAUUUUAACCUCCUCAAAGAUUCAGCCCUUGUGCCUCCACUCCGGCAUCCCCUGCGGACAAGAAUGAAGCUCAAGCCACGGCCAGUAAGCUUUGCUCACAAAUUCCUCCUUCACGACUGACUGAGCCCCGAAACUGGAAACAAACAUUCUGUUGAAUCAUGUAAAUCCCCGCUCAUCUCCAAAUUGGGUGCUGGAGUGCCUCGGGGAAGUGAUUUUACAACCUCACUGACUUCAACCAAGGUAGACACCAAUUGCUUUUGCAAGAUAAUUCAGCCUGCCCCUGGCAACAAGAGCGUGCAGGGGCUCCCUCCCUUCUCCCCUGGACUGAAGGGGAGCAGUCUCUUCCUUAGGGAGGGAGAGGAGAGAGAUCUUAAGCCUCCCACCCCAGGAAGCCUUCCCCCGGACCUCGCAGGUGGAAUUCAGAGACUCAUCACUUACUCACAUUCUCACUUGAAAAAGGAUCUCAGAUAAGGGGCAGGGUGGGGGAGGGCCAUCUUGAGAGAUGGCCUCUGCAAUAUGAGGUCAAGGUCACCUGCGCUUUGCCUCACAACCUCCUGGAUUUCAGAGGCAGGGUAAUGCUGUAAUGGAGCUACCCUUACAUCUCCGCGCAGGAAAAUGCUUUCUAGCCUGUGGGCCCCUGGGGAGAACUGUUAUCUUUUCUUGUACCACUGCCUUUUUAAAAAAAGUUUAUUUUCAAAUCUAGGCCUUGCAAUAGAUCAUUCAGCCCACAGCCAACAGCCCUGUCUAUCCUGAGAUGCUGUGGCUGUGUUGUCACAGACGACAAUUCCCCAUGUUGGUUUGAAAGAUUACUUUCCUCCCAGUGGCUCGAGUCCCAUUGCAAAUGUUAGAAAACAGGUCAGCAGCCCCACCAGUAAUCAUAAUCAUAAAAAUUACUGUCUGUUUUUGAGAGCUUAGUCUCCAAGGACUUAAUAACCGCUAUAUUGUGUAUUUUUUGCUUUGGCUCCAAAAAGCAGAUCUUAUUGUCUGUAUGUAUUUCAUAUAUGCAGAAACAGGUUCAAUAGCCAAGUAAGUUGUCUAAGGCCACGCAGCUAACAUGUGGCAGAGUUAGAAUUUUUUUACUGAAGAAUAACUUACCUACAAUAUUGUAUUAGUUCCAGGUAUACAACAUAGCGAUUCGAUAUUUAUAUAGCUUGUGAAAUGACCACCACAAGAAGUCUAGUUACCAUCUGUCACCUUACAAAGUUGUUACAGUGUUAUUGACUGUAUUUUCCAUGAUGUACAGUAUAUCCCCGUGACUUAUUUAGUUCAUAACUGGAAGCUCGGACCUCUUAAUCUCGUUCACCUCUUUCACUCAUCCUCCCAUCGCCCUGCCCUCCAGCAACCGCCAAUCUGUUCUCUGUAUCUAGGAGUCUGUUUCUUGGGGUUGGGGGUUUGUUUUAUUUUUAGAUGCCAGAUACAAGUGAAAUCAUAUAAUUUUGUCUUUCUCUCUCUGACUUAUGUCACUAAGCAGAAUACCCUCUAUGUCCACAUUGUUUCAAAUAUCAAGCUUUCAUUCUUUUUUAUGGUUGAGUAAUAUUCCUCUGUGUGUGUGUGUGUGUGUGUGUGUGUGUGUGUGUGUACCCCUCAUCUUCCUUAUCCAUUCAUCUAUCAAUGGACACUUGGACUGCUUCCUUACCUUGGCUAAUGUAAACAAUGGUGCCGUGAACAUAGGGGUGCAUAUGGCUUUUUGGGUUAAUGUUUUCAUGUUCUUUGGAUAAACAUCUAGAAGCAGAACUUCUGGCUCCUAUGGUAACUCUGUUUUUGAUUGUUUGAGGAACCUCCAUACUGUUUUCCACACUGGCCGCUCCGGUUUGCCUUCCCACC